GUAGUGCCCUACUUGAGAAGGUUUCAAUCACAUAGACUGAAAAUUGAUUGUCACCUUUUCGAGUAGAGUAAUGCA
Non-coding RNA from Felis catus (domestic cat), 75 nucleotides. The record is from Rfam. Lineage: Eukaryota; Metazoa; Chordata; Mammalia; Carnivora; Felidae.